RNAcentral lists this ribosomal RNA (454 nucleotides) under uncultured eukaryote. Its description in RNAcentral is "SSU rRNA". It matches the Rfam family "Eukaryotic small subunit ribosomal RNA", at positions 8 to 472 of the family's 1831-position model. The record is from RNAcentral.
UUGAUCCUGCCAGUAGUCAUACGCUUGUCUCAAAGAUUAAGCCAUGCAUGUCUAAGUAUAAACAAAUCUAUACGUGAAACUGCGAAUGGCUCAUUAUAUCAGUUAUAGUUUAUUUGAUGGUUCUUGCUACUUGGAUAACCGUAGUAAUUCUAGAGCUAAUACAUGCGUCAAACCCGGACUUCUGGAGGGGUGUAUWUAUUAGAUGGAAACCAAUGCGGGCAACCCGGUAUAUGGUGAUUCAUAAUAACUUUCGGAUCGAUCUUCGGAUCGAUGCAUCAUUCAAGUUUCUGCCCUAUCAGCUUUGGAUGGUAGGGUAUUGGCCUACCAUGGCUUUAACGGGUAACGGAGAAUUAGGGUUCGAUUCCGGAGAGGGAGCCUGAGAAAUGGCUACCAACAUCCAAGGAAGGCAGCAGGCGCGUGAAAUUACCCAAGUCCUGACAAAGGGAGGUAGUGA